Molecule: long non-coding RNA, 337 nt
Organism: Sipha flava (yellow sugarcane aphid)
Lineage: Eukaryota; Metazoa; Arthropoda; Insecta; Hemiptera; Aphididae
Exons: 3
Source: RefSeq, a predicted model, not a curated record
ACUAUAAUUUGGCAGUAUAUUUUGAGAUCAUAGUUCUAUUUUUAUUGGCUUAUUUAAACAAAAUACGUAAUUGAUAAAAAUCCGUAGAAUAAUCCCUGAGUAAUGGCGUGGAGUUAUUUUUCUACAAAAUAUUAGCAUUUUGAAGAUGGGAUAGGUACAUCAUAUGUCUGUAAAAUGAUAUAAGAUAAAGCGAUUUCCAGUAUCAACAUCGGCAUAUUGCUUGAUAUUAUACGAUCAAAUUAUAACUUAUAUAUCCCUUUGAAAGCAAACAAUGCUGCAAAUCGAAUACGCCGUGCUGCAAGCCAAGUACAUCUUGCCGCAAUCCAAGUACACCAUG